Molecule: ribosomal RNA, 468 nt
Filed under: uncultured bacterium
Lineage: Bacteria
Description: partial 16S ribosomal RNA
Rfam family: Bacterial small subunit ribosomal RNA
Source: RNAcentral
GACGAACGCUGGCGGCGUGCUUAACACAUGCAAGUCGAACGGAAAGGCCCUGCUUUUGUGGGGUGCUCGAUUGGCGAACGGGUGAGUAACACGUGAGUAACCUGCCCUUGACUUUGGGAUAACUUCAGGUAACUGGGGCUAAUACCGGAUAGGAGCUCCUGCUGCAUGGUGGGGGUUGGAAAGUUUCGGCGGUUGGGGAUGGACUCGCGGCCUAUUAGCUUGUUGGUGGGGUAGUGGCUUACCAAGGCUUUGACGGGUAGCCGGCCUGAGAGGGUGACCGGCCACAUUGUGACUGAGGUACGGCCCAGACUCCUACGUGAGGCAGCAGUGGGGAAUAUUGCACAAUGGGCGGAAGCCUAAUGCAGCAACGCCGCGUGCGGGAUGACGGCCUUCGGGUUGUAAACCGCUUUCGCCUGUGACGAAGCGUGAGUGACGGUAAUGGGUAAAGAAGCACCGGCUAACUACGUG